Molecule: ribosomal RNA, 253 nt
Filed under: uncultured bacterium
Lineage: Bacteria
Description: partial 16S ribosomal RNA
Rfam family: Bacterial small subunit ribosomal RNA
Source: RNAcentral
UACGUAGGGGGCAAGCGUUGUCCGGAUUCACUGGGCGUAAAGCGCGUGUAGGCGGCGCCUCAAGUCGGGUGUGAAAUCUUUCAGCUUAACUGGAAAAGUGCCUCCGAUACUGAUCGUCUCGAGGGAGGUAGGGGCAUGUGGAACUUCCGGUGGAGCGGUGAAAUGCGUAGAUAUCGGAAGGAACGCCGGUGGCGAAAGCGACGUGCUGGACCUCUUCUGACGCUGAGGCGCGAAAGCCAGGGGAGCAAACGGG